UACGGAGGAUGCAAGCGUUAUCCGGAAUGAUUGGGCGUAAAGGGUCCGCAGGUGGCAGUGUAAGUCUGCUGUCAAAGAAUGAGGCUUAACCUCAUCAAGGCAGUGGAAACUACACAGCUAGAGUACGGUCGGGGUAGAAGGAAUUCCUGGUGUAGCGGUGAAAUGCGCAGAUAUCGGGAGGAACACCAGUGGCGAAGGCGGCGCUCUGGGCCGGAACUGACGCUGAGGAGCGAAAGCGUGGGUAGCAAACAGG
This 253-nucleotide ribosomal RNA is filed under the name uncultured bacterium. RNAcentral describes it as "partial 16S ribosomal RNA". It matches the Rfam family "Bacterial small subunit ribosomal RNA", at positions 524 to 776 of the family's 1533-position model. The record is from RNAcentral.